UUAUUAUAGAUAAAAUGGCUCAAAGGUGCUCCACCGCUAUCCAUUUUCGGCUUCUGCUUGUUCAAAAUGUUUGUCAGUAACAAAUUCCUCAUGGCUAGAAAAGGUCUUUAUUUUCUGAUAUUUAUAACAGAAACUGUGCAAGAAUUAAAAAGCUCUUCUGAUAUUUAUAACAAAUUCCUUCAUGGCUAGAAAAGGUCUUUAUCUUCUGAUAUUUAUAACAGAAACUGUGCAAGAAUUAAAAAGCUCUUUUAAUUCUUGCACUGUAUAAUUGGCAUGCUUGUAGAUUGAUGUCCCAUAUUGUUUAGUGCAUCCCGGCUUGGGAUAACAUGAAGCUUGUACUGAUUAUCCAUUGAAUUAUUUUAGCAUGUGGCUGUAGCUUCCGUGUGUUUGCUUAUUUGGAAUGCCUUGUUCUUACUGUUUGACACAGGCAGCCAUGUCAUGAAGCAAAUUGCAUUUACUUCACUGAGCAAAAUCAAACUCAUGUUUUCAAAUUAUAAAAUGGAAGCAUUGCCAAUUUA
Molecule: long non-coding RNA, 518 nt
Organism: Quercus robur (English oak)
Lineage: Eukaryota; Viridiplantae; Streptophyta; Magnoliopsida; Fagales; Fagaceae
Exons: 2
Source: RefSeq, a predicted model, not a curated record